GGGGAAAGAGAAGGAAGGCAAAUAAAGGAGGUGCCUUCCUUCUUUCCUUUGCUGCUCUUUCCCUUCUUUCUGAGAGGCCAGUGCCUUGGAGGGACUGAGAUGAAGAGGGCAAAGGGUGAUAUAAUGGCAUCAGGGCCUGGAUCAUCUCUUCUUAAUGGGAAAGUGGAAAGUGUCACCAUGCAGACACUUCAGCAACUGAUGUCAUUUGGGAGGUGGCUGUGUAUUUCACCAAAGGAGAGUGGGAUCUUCUGAAUCACAGCCAAAGAAUUUUGUACAAGAUUGUCAUGCUGGAGAACUAUAAAAAUGUGAACUUUCUGG
Molecule: long non-coding RNA, 318 nt
Organism: Sceloporus undulatus (fence lizard)
Lineage: Eukaryota; Metazoa; Chordata; Lepidosauria; Squamata; Phrynosomatidae
Exons: 3
Source: RefSeq, a predicted model, not a curated record